This 253-nucleotide ribosomal RNA is filed under the name uncultured bacterium. Its description in RNAcentral is "partial 16S ribosomal RNA". It matches the Rfam family "Bacterial small subunit ribosomal RNA", at positions 524 to 776 of the family's 1533-position model. The record is from RNAcentral.
UACAGAGGGUGCGAGCGUUGUCCGGAGUUACUGGGCGUAAAGGGUGCGCAGGCGGCCUGGCGCGUCGCGAGUGAAAUCUCCUGGCUCAACUGGGGGGGUGGUCGCGAGACGGCUGGGCUUGAGGCUCGGUGAGGGGCGUGGAAUUCCGGGUGGAGCGGUGAAAUGCGCAGAUAUCGGGAGGAACACCGGUGGCGAAGGCGGUUCUCUGGGCCUGUACUGACGCUGAGGAGCGAAAGCGUGGGGAGCGAACAGG